Molecule: ribosomal RNA, 330 nt
Filed under: uncultured eukaryote
Lineage: Eukaryota
Description: partial 18S ribosomal RNA
Rfam family: Eukaryotic small subunit ribosomal RNA
Source: RNAcentral
CCCUUAGAUGUUCUGGGCCGCACGCGCGCUACACUGAUGCAUUCAACGAGUCUAAAACCUGGUCUGAUAGGGCUGGGUAAUCUUUUGAAAGUGCAUCGUGAUUGGGAUAGAUGAUUGCAAUUCUUCAUCUUCAACGAGGAAUGCCUAGUAAACACAAGUCAUCAGCUUGCAUUGAUUACGUCCCUGCCCUUUGUACACACCGCCCGUCGCUCCUACCGAUUGAAUGAUCCGAUGAAUACCAUGGAUUGAGAGUACGAAUGGGUUCGCUCAUUUCUGCUGCUCGAGAAGUGGAGUAAAUCUUAUCAUUUAGAGGAAGGAGAAGUCGUAACA